AAUGAAGUGAAAACUGUAGACAGUAAGAACAAGGCAGUGUAUGUCAAUUUGGCUUCUUUGUGGGUGGGAAAGCAUGAAAAUCAAAAGGGUAAUGAUUAACUGACCGUGCUACUCCAAGAAAAGUUGGAUGUAUUAGCACUGUUGGAUUAAGAUGUUUGCGUACCUUAUCUAUGAGGUGAGAACUACAAGGCAAGUAGAUGAUUUCUGAUAUGCUGGGUUGCAGUUCCAUGGAUGGUGGCAGCCGUCUGGUAUUUUAUCUAAGCAGUCAUAUUUUAUUUGUGAGCCUCGUAUUGAUGACAUUUGUUAUGAAACUGCAAUUCUGCUUCCUUGCCAGAUGUUCAAACAUGUAUUUGCCACUAGAAUGCAUUAUAUAGUGGAAAGGCUGUAGUUUUUCUUCUCAAGCCUUUAUAUGAGCAUAAGAAUUAGUAAAAGGAAUAGGGCAUUUGGCUCCUCAAUCAUGCUCUGCUAUUCAAUAAGUUUCUGACUGUCUCCCCUCAAUCAUGCAAGAUUGAACCACUUAGUGUUAUAUCCCAUUUUUCUAGUUGAAAUCUACUAAUUUAGCAUGUAUAAAGGAUUCAGUUUGGAUCCUUACUGGUUGAUAUAAUUCAUGCUCACAAACAGUGCAUUUAUGUAACCAGCCAUUGAUCGUUCCUGAAACCUGUUGUUGCUAAAACCCCUAACCCCAUUUGCUCCAUUCCCUUUCCCCAAUUGUGAAUUUACAUUGAACAAUGACUUUAGAGAAUUGAUAUUUUCUUUUCUUGGCUUUCUUUGGGAAAUAAUUAGGUGCCCUUGGAAAUCUAAUAUGACUGGGAGGAGUAGUGUAGAAUAUCUUUCCUUGUUAGCUGAUAUCCAAAAUAUUGCAGCUUUUUCUCAAGUAGCCUUUAUAUGGGCUUGCAUCUAUUUCCUCUGUUCUUUAUUGCACAGAUAGAUGAAAUACCGAAACAAUUCAUAUAGUUCCUGGACUAUAGAAAGUGAUUUGAAGGUAUUUGGCAUAUGUCGGAGUUCUUCAGAGUAGUCUUUUUAUCCCCCUUUAUUCAUUAACGGUGUCACUGGCUAGGCAGCAUUUAUUGCCCAAAGUCAACCACAUUGCUGUGAGUCUGGAGUCAAGUGACCAGGUAAGGAUGGCAGAGACAACAGGGUGCAGGGCUGGAUCUGCCAUCCUUGCCUGGUCUGGCGUAUAUAUAACAUCAA
Molecule: long non-coding RNA, 1191 nt
Organism: Rhincodon typus (whale shark)
Lineage: Eukaryota; Metazoa; Chordata; Chondrichthyes; Orectolobiformes; Rhincodontidae
Exons: 3
Source: RefSeq, a predicted model, not a curated record